GAGUUUGAUCCUGGCUCAGAUUGAACGCUGGCGGCAUGCUUUACACAUGCAAGUCGAACGGUAACGCGGACUUCGGUCUGGCGACGAGUGGCGAACGGGUGAGUAAUGCAUCGGAACGUGUCCAUUUGUGGGGGAUAGCCCGGCGAAAGCCGGAUUAAUACCGCACAAUCUCUUCGGAGGAAAGUGGGGGACCCUCGGGCCUCACGCAGAUGGAGCGGCUGAUGUCGGAUUAGCUUGUUGGUAGGGUAAAAGCCUACCAAGGCAACGAUCCGUAGCUGGUCUGAGAGGAUGAUCAGCCACACUGGAACUGAGACACGGUCCAGACUCCUACGGGAGGCAGCAGUGGGGAAUUUUGGACAAUGGGGGCAACCCUGAUCCAGCCAUGCCGCGUGCGGGAAGAAGGCCUUCGGGUUGUAAACCGCUUUCAGACGGAAAGAAACAGUGCAAGUUAAUAACUUGCAUCAAUGACGGUACCGUCAGAAGAAGCACCGGCUAACUACGUGCCAGCAGCCGCGGUAAUACGGAAGGUCCAAGCGUUAAUCGGAAUUACUGGGCGUAAAGCGCGCGUAGGUGGUUUAUUAAGUUGGAUGUGAAAUCCCCGGGCUCAACCUGGGAACUGCAUCCAAAACUGAUUCACUAGAGUACGAUAGAGGGAGGUAGAAUUCACAGUGUAGCGGUGGAAUGCGUAGAUAUUGUGAAGAAUACCAAUGGCGAAGGCAGCCUCCUGGAUCUGUACUGACACUGAGGUGCGAAAGCGUGGGUAGCGAACAGGAUUAGAUACCCUGGUAGUCCACGCCGUAAACGAUGUCAACUAGCUGUUGGAAAGCAUUGCUUUUCAGUGGCGCAGCUAACGUAGUAAGUUGACCGCCUGGGGAGUACGGCCGCAAGGUUAAAACUCAAAUGAAUUGACGGGGACCCGCACAAGCGGUGGAGCAUGUGGUUUAAUUCGAUGCAGCGCGAAAAACCUUACCUACUCUUGACAUACUUGGAGGCUCUUGUAAUGAGAGUGUGCCUUUUGGAACCAAGAUACAGGUGCUGCAUGGCUGUCGUCAGCUCGUGUCGUGAGAUGCUCCGUUAAGUCGGAUAACGAGCGCAACCCUUACCCUUAUUUGCCAGCGAUUCGGUCGGGAACUAUAAGGGGACUGCCGGUGAUAAACCGGAGGAAGGUGAGGACGACGUCAAGUCAUCAUGGCCCUUACGAGUAGGGCUACACACGUGCUACAAUGGGAGAUACAGACGGACGCUAAGCCGCGAGGUGGUGCUAAUCCUAAAAAGUCUUUCGUAGUCCGGAUUGGAGUCUGCAACUCGACUCCAUGAAGUCGGAAUCGCUAGUAAUUGCGGAUCAGCAUGCCGCGGUGAAUACGUUCUCGGGUCUUGUACACACCGCCCGUCACACCAUGGAAGUGGAUUGCACCAGAAGUAGAUAGUCUAACCUUAGGGAGGGCGUUUACCACGGUGUGCUUCAUGACUGGGGUGAAGUCGUAACAAGGUAACC
This 1495-nucleotide ribosomal RNA is filed under the name uncultured marine bacterium. Its description in RNAcentral is "16S ribosomal RNA". It matches the Rfam family "Bacterial small subunit ribosomal RNA". The record is from RNAcentral.